This 301-nucleotide ribosomal RNA is filed under the name uncultured bacterium. RNAcentral's name for it is "partial 16S ribosomal RNA". It matches the Rfam family "Bacterial small subunit ribosomal RNA", at positions 509 to 808 of the family's 1533-position model. The record is from RNAcentral.
CAGUCGCCGCGGUAAUACGAAGGGUGCAGGCGUUAAUCGGAAUUACUGAGCGUAAAGCGUGCGUAGGCGGUGAGUUAAGUCUGCUGUGAAAUCCCCGGGCUCAACCUGGGAAUGGCAGUGGAUACUGGCUCGCUAGAGUGUGUCAGAGGAUGGUGGAAUUCCCGGUGUAGCGGUGAAAUGCGUAGAGAUCGGGAGGAACAUCAGUGGCGAAGGCGGCCAUCUGGGACAACACUGACGCUGAGGCACGAAAGCGUGGGGAGCAAACAGGAUUAGAACCCCCGUAGUCCCUGUCUCUUAUACA